This 644-nucleotide ribosomal RNA is filed under the name uncultured Actinomycetes bacterium. RNAcentral describes it as "bacterial SSU rRNA". It matches the Rfam family "Bacterial small subunit ribosomal RNA", at positions 231 to 885 of the family's 1533-position model. The record is from RNAcentral. Lineage: Bacteria; Bacillati; Actinomycetota; Actinomycetes.
UCGCGGCCUAUCAGCUUGUUGGUGGGGUAACGGCCCACCAAGGCUCCGACGGGUAGCUGGUCUGAGAGGACGACCAGCCACACUGGGACUGAGACACGGCCCAGACUCCUGCGGGAGGCAGCAGUGGGGAAUCUUGCGCAAUGGGCGAAAGCCUGAUGCAGCGACGCCGCGUGAGGGAUGACGGCCUUCGGGUUGUAAACCUCUUUCAGCAGGGAAGAAGCGAAAGUGACGGUACCUGCAGAAGAAGCACCGGCUAACUACGUGCCAGCAGCCGCGGUAAUACGUAGGGUGCGAGCGUUGUCCGGAAUUAUUGGGCGUAAAGAGCUUGUAGGCGGUUUGUCGCGUCUGCAGUGAAAAUCCGGGGCUCAACCCCGGACUUGCUGUGGGUACGGGCAGACUAGAGUGUGGUAGGGGGGACCGGAAUUCCUGGUGUAGCGGUGGAAUGCGCAGAUAUCAGGAGGAACACCGAUGGCGAAGGCAGGUCUCUGGGCCACAACUGACGCUGAGAAGCGAAAGCAUGGGGAGCGAACAGGAUUAGAUACCCUGGUAGUCCAUGCCGUAAACGUUGGGCGCUAGGUGUGGGGCUCAUUCCACGAGCUCCGUGCCGCAGCUAACGCAUUAAGCGCCCCGCCUGGGGAGUACGG